GACUGUGCAUGGCAUCCCUCGAGUUCCAUGGGAGAGUCAUACCCGAUUUGAUGGCUUAUCUGAGUACAAACUUGACAGGAAUGGAAAGAUCUUUCAGCACCGGGUUGACAAUGUUGCCCUUAAUUCACCUCCGAAGUUUAGAGUGUUGGCUGUGGAAGAAUUACUCCAGUCAAUUGGUUGCCUCUCAACUACAAAACCAACCUAUUUUGAGGUUUCAUCUUUGUCUUCGGAGACAGAAAUAUUGAGCUGGCGUUUGGUAACCAUCUUCACUUUAUAAAAACUCGGUUUUUGAUUACCCAAGUUGGCAUUACGGGUAGCAGUUUUUAGUUAAAUAUGAAAUGGAUCUGUGGGCUUGUUAAUUUUGCCUUGGAUUUCCGGAUCUUAUUUGUAUAAAACUUGUAUAUAUCAAUAGACUAGUAAAAUUUGAA
Molecule: unclassified non-coding RNA, 428 nt
Filed under: Hevea brasiliensis (rubber tree)
Lineage: Eukaryota; Viridiplantae; Streptophyta; Magnoliopsida; Malpighiales; Euphorbiaceae
Source: RNAcentral